GAUGAACGCUGGCGGCGUGCCUAAUACAUGCAAGUCGAGCGAACAGACGAGGAGCUUGCUCCUCUGACGUUAGCGGCGGACGGGUGAGUAACACGUGGAUAACCUACCUAUAAGACUGGGAUAACUUCGGGAAACCGGAGCUAAUACCGGAUAAUAUAUUGAACCGCAUGGUUCAAUAGUGAAAGACGGUUUUGCUGUCACUUAUAGAUGGAUCCGCGCCGCAUUAGCUAGUUGGUAAGGUAACGGCUUACCAAGGCAACGAUGCGUAGCCGACCUGAGAGGGUGAUCGGCCACACUGGAACUGAGAAACGGUCCAGACUCCUACGGGAGGAAGCAGUAGGGACUCUUCCGCAAUGGGCGAAAGCUUGACGGAGCAACGCCGCGUGAGUGCUGAAGGUCUUCGGAUCGUAAAACUCUGUUAUUAGGGAAGAACAAAUGUGUAAGUAACUAUGAACGUCUUGACGGUACCUAAUCAGAAAGCCACGGCUAACUACGUG
Molecule: ribosomal RNA, 497 nt
Filed under: uncultured bacterium
Lineage: Bacteria
Description: partial 16S ribosomal RNA
Rfam family: Bacterial small subunit ribosomal RNA
Source: RNAcentral